GGUUAAGUGACUAAGCGUACACGGUGGAUGCCUAGGCAGUCAGAGGCGAUGAAGGGCGUGCUAAUCUGCGAAAAGCGUCGGUAAGGUGAUAUGAACCGUUAUAACCGGCGAUACCCGAAUGGGGAAACCCAGUGUGUU
Molecule: ribosomal RNA, 138 nt
Filed under: Serratia marcescens
Lineage: Bacteria; Pseudomonadati; Pseudomonadota; Gammaproteobacteria; Enterobacterales; Yersiniaceae
Description: partial 23S ribosomal RNA
Rfam family: Bacterial large subunit ribosomal RNA
Source: RNAcentral